GUUUACUUCAGCUGCACAUAUGCUAAAGCUGGAACAACACGAAGAAGAUUAGCAUGGACCCUGAGCAAGGAUGACACACAUUCAUUCCAUGUUAAAAAAAAAACUUAU
Small nuclear RNA from Budorcas taxicolor (takin), 108 nucleotides. The record is from RefSeq and is a predicted model, not a curated record. Lineage: Eukaryota; Metazoa; Chordata; Mammalia; Artiodactyla; Bovidae.